RNAcentral lists this non-coding RNA (24 nucleotides) under Mus musculus (house mouse). The record is from RNAcentral. Lineage: Eukaryota; Metazoa; Chordata; Mammalia; Rodentia; Muridae.
UGUGCUGGAUCCUAAGACANUGCC